RNAcentral lists this long non-coding RNA (299 nucleotides) under Panax ginseng (ginseng). RNAcentral describes it as "long non-coding RNA (PGIN_LNC018037)". The record is from RNAcentral. Lineage: Eukaryota; Viridiplantae; Streptophyta; Magnoliopsida; Apiales; Araliaceae.
ACAUAAGCAAUAUUUUUUAGUUUUUCUUGCCACGUCAGCGUCACGUAAACAAAAAUCUAACAUGUGUCAACUUUUUUUAACGGAAUGACUCAAUUUGAAAAUAAAAAUUAGUUCAGUGACUUAAUUUGAAAAAUUAAAAGUUCAAUCGGGUAUUCAGUAAAACGUGCCAAUUUUGGUGGCCAAAUCAUUAGUUUUGCCUUAAAUCAAUCAAGUACAACAAUCUUUUCUUCAUUGAACCGGUACACACUUGGGCGAUCGGAAGAGCCGUCGGAAAACCUCCCACCGGAACCUGGCGAUGG